GGAUCUCUGGGAGUUCAGUGAUAGCUCAGUCUACAUACGGAGUUCCAGAACAGCCAUGACUACGUGGUCAGACCAUGUCUAAAAAAUAAACAACUAAAUUAGUUCCUUAAAAAAAAAAAAUACAAUGGUAAGGUAUUUCAAUUCUAACUUCCUUUCUAGAAUCGUUUUUAUUUUUUUAAUCUUUCUCUUUAUUACCAUAUGCUGCGUAUGACAAUACCUCUGAGUUCUACAGAGAUAGGGAAGAAGCUUGGAUAGACUUCUUCUUGAAGCCCAUAAAUUCAUCUAGAAGAUGAAAAUUACAAUAGAAAGAACCACACAGAUUUGUGACUCCGGCCAUUUGCCCACCCUGGUAUCACACUGAAGUAGCUGUCCUGAAGUUUGUGAGGGUAAUGGUAACCCUUUAGCAGUUGAUGCUGAGGUAAAUGUUUGCUGAUGCCCCUCCUCCAUCCUGCAUGCUGGGAAUCAGGACCCUCUGUCACUAAGAUGGCUCUUCAGUCCCUGAGAGAAGGCUAUUUAUUCUCAGGUCCUUUUUUUCUUUUUUCUUUUUUUUUAAUAUUUUUUUUAUUAUAUGUACUUUGGUGUUCUGUCUGCAUAUAUGUCUGUGAGGGUGUCAGAUCCCUGGAACUGGAAUUACAUAUAGUUGUAAGCUGCCAUGUGGGUGCUGGGAGUUGAACCCAGGUCCAUCUGGAAGAACAGCAAGUGCUCUUAACCACUGAGCCAUUUCUCCAGCCCCAGGUUCCUUUUUUUUUCUUGGCACUUUGUCUCACCAGAGAGCAAUGAAUUUAUAACGUCUAUUUCUUGGAGGUGUAAGUAGCUUCCUGAGAGUGACAGAAAAGUAGAUUGUAGACUUACAAGUACUUCAUUGAUGCUGUCUUGCCACGUUCCUAGAGUUGGCCAGAUAGCUUAUGACUGUCUUUUUCAUGGUAGAAGACUAGUUCGAGAAAAGGAAGAGUGCUGAAACUACAAGAUGCCUGAGACGGUCAAGCCAGGCUCUCAUGGUCCCUGGUGCCUGAAGGUCCCGGAGAGGUGCUGAGAGCAGCUGAAGAGCCAGAUCAGCAUCUGGGAGGGGCAGCUUCUCCACACCUCUGCAGUGCAGAAAGCAACUGGCCUUCCAAAGAUAUCAACGAAACAUAUAAGAUGAGGUACCCCUCACUACCACCAUGGCUGAUGAGGCAACCCAAUAUGAGAAAAGAGGUUCAAAGAGUUGGCAAAAGAGUUGGAAGGUUGAAACCAUUAACACGUAUAGUUUUUAUUGAAAAUAAGCAGGCAUCUCUACGGCCAGCCUCAAGGGACCUGACAAACUGGUCAUCAGGCAUUUGUGAAGCCACCAAGAAGACCACCCGUUGAUCACCUGGAACCACCUGCGCAUGCCCUGGGUCACCUUAUAAGAGAACUCCCAAAGCCCCUCCUCUCUCUCUUUUCUCUUCUGCCUCAGCUCUCUGCGACCUCCUUUCCCUUCCCCUAAUAAACCUCCCAU
Meriones unguiculatus (Mongolian gerbil) is the source of this 1477-nucleotide long non-coding RNA. RefSeq lists it as uncharacterized. NCBI's taxonomy places the organism in Eukaryota, Metazoa, Chordata, Mammalia, Rodentia, Muridae. The record is from RefSeq and is a predicted model, not a curated record. The transcript is spliced from 3 exons.